RNAcentral lists this ribosomal RNA (403 nucleotides) under uncultured Bauldia sp. RNAcentral's name for it is "bacterial SSU rRNA". It matches the Rfam family "Bacterial small subunit ribosomal RNA", at positions 355 to 774 of the family's 1533-position model. Lineage: Bacteria; Pseudomonadati; Pseudomonadota; Alphaproteobacteria; Hyphomicrobiales; Kaistiaceae. The record is from RNAcentral.
UGGGGAAUAUUGGACAAUGGGCGCAAGCCUGAUCCAGCCAUGCCGCGUGAGUGAUGAAGGCCCUAGGGUUGUAAAGCUCUUUCGGCGGGGACGAUAAUGACGGUACCCGCAGAAGAAGCCCCGGCUAACUUCGUGCCAGCAGCCGCGGUAAUACGAAGGGGGCUAGCGUUGUUCGGAAUCACUGGGCGUAAAGCGCACGUAGGCGGAUUGUUAAGUCAGGGGUGAAAUCCCGAGGCUCAACCUCGGAACUGCCCUUGAUACUGGCAAUCUUCGAGUCCGGGAGAGGUGAGUGGAACUCCGAGUGUAGAGGUGAAAUUCGUAGAUAUUCGGAAGAACACCAGUGGCGAAGGCGGCUCACUGGCCCGGUACUGACGCUGAGGUGCGAAAGCGUGGGGAGCAAACA